GGGCGUUUAGCUCAGCUGGCUAGAGUACCACAUUGACAUUGUGGGGGUCACUGGUUCAAGUCCAGUAACGCCCAC
This 75-nucleotide transfer RNA is filed under the name Urbifossiella limnaea. RNAcentral's name for it is "Planctomycetes bacterium ETA_A1 tRNA-Val". It matches the Rfam family "tRNA". Rfam says of the family: Transfer RNA (tRNA) molecules are approximately 80 nucleotides in length. Their secondary structure includes four short double-helical elements and three loops (D, anti-codon, and T loops). Lineage: Bacteria; Pseudomonadati; Planctomycetota; Planctomycetia; Gemmatales; Gemmataceae. The record is from RNAcentral.